This is a long non-coding RNA of Pogona vitticeps (central bearded dragon), 1170 nucleotides long. The record is from Ensembl. NCBI's taxonomy places the organism in Eukaryota, Metazoa, Chordata, Lepidosauria, Squamata, Agamidae.
CGAGGGUUAAUCCGGAACCUCGCUAUACGGGGCACCACUGUAUUUUUUUGCACACUUGAAUUGUAAAUGACCAGGCUCACCGUAUUUGCAGCAUCCAUAAUUCCUUCUCUCAUACUGAGGAGAUCUAUUAAACUUUUCCUCAGGAUUCACUUGGUUCUGAGAACUAGGCCAGGCCAAUCCAGGUGAAGUACUACCCUGGCUUUCUUUUCCUGUUGUUUUGCUGAUGUAAUUUUUAUUAAAGGGCUUCUUAUUGUUGUCCCAAUUCUGCUUGUUAAAAUUUACCUUAGAUUUCAUUUGGAACUGAGAACCAGGCCGUGCUAAUCUUUUCAUUUCUAUUUGAAAUUCCAUUUGUUUUAACUCCAACUCUAUUUUUCUUUUUUCCUGCUCAAAUGCCAUUUGUCUGGCCUCUUGCUCAGCCUUUCCUCUGCUACCACCAGUUGAUCACUACAAAUCAACAUUAAUUAUGAAAGGAUGAAGAUGCAGGUCCAAACUUCACUGUCUUUUAAAUAAAACUUGUUUAUUUACAGAUGUUAUUAUUAAUCAUAGGUAACUUCUAUUAUCUUCAAUCUCAACCUUCUGUCAUUACAGUUCUUAUUCACUGCUCACUCUAAUCACACCUCAGAUCUCCCAAAAUACCACACUCUAUCUCCACUCUCUCACUCUGAUUCUCUCUGUCUCUCUCUCACUGCCUCUGCCUCUGCCUCUUUAUUACAUAUCUCUUGGCUCCGCCUCUUAGCAACAUUAGCCGGCAACAUGAAUAUGCAUGACUACUUCAUAAUAAGGGUGAAUGCUAGCAAUGCUAUCAGUGAGACUACACGAAGUUUCCCCACCCCAACCCUUGGUGAAUCUUUUACAUGGUACAUUAUUGCACUUUUUUAAAAAAAAAGCAGAACAGUAGGAUCGAGGAAGAAGCUGAGAGCAGAUUUUCUAUUUCAGAUGCCUACAGAAGUCCACAAGCAGGACCUGAAUGCAUUGCUUCAUGUCUCUGACCAUCUACAGCUCUACUCCCAAGCCAGAUUAGACAAGGAGUGUGUCCCUGUACUUUUGCCUCAAGGUCCUACUGUGAUGGCCUCAACUGUGGACAGAAGCCUUUUCUACUUCUCAAAUUCCAGAAUCCCACAUUCAACAUGGCCACUGACCAUGCUUGCUGUUGAGUUCUGGGGGAAGUAG